GAUGAACGCUGGCGGCGUGCUUAACACAUGCAAGUCGAACGAAGUAUAGUGAAUCGAGUUCUUCGGAACAAUUGAAGCUGUACUGAGUGGCGGACGGGUGAGUAACGCGUGGAUAACCUGCCUUACACUGGGGGACAACAGUUGGAAACGACUGCUAAUACCGCAUAAGCGCACAGUACCGCAUGGUACGGUGUGAAAAACUCCGGUGGUGUAAGAUGGAUCCGCGUCUGAUUAGCUAGUUGGUAGGGUAAUGGCCUACCAAGGCAACGAUCAGUAGCCGGCCUGAGAGGGUGUACGGCCACAUUGGGACUGAGACACGGCCCAGACUCCUACGGGAGGCAGCAGUGGGGAAUAUUGCACAAUGGGCGAAAGCCUGAUGCAGCGACGCCGCGUGAGCGAAGAAGUAUUUCGGUAUGUAAAGCUCUAUCAGCAAGGAAGAUAAUGACGGUACUUGACUAAGAAGCCCCGGCUAACUACGUGCCAGCAGCCGCGGUAAUACGUAGGGGGCAAGCGUUAUCCGGAUUUACUGGGUGUAAAGGGAGUGUAGGUGGCAUGGCAAGUCAGAAGUGAAAGCCCGGGGCUCAACCCCGGGACUGCUUUUGAAACUGCCAAGCUAGAGUGCAGGAGAGGUAAGUGGAAUUCCUAGUGUAGCGGUGAAAUGCGUAGAUAUUAGGAGGAACACCAGUGGCGAAGGCGACUUACUGGACUGUAACUGACACUGAGGC
RNAcentral lists this ribosomal RNA (725 nucleotides) under uncultured bacterium. RNAcentral describes it as "bacterial SSU rRNA". It matches the Rfam family "Bacterial small subunit ribosomal RNA", at positions 28 to 752 of the family's 1533-position model. The record is from RNAcentral.